CAGGGGCCUGCAAAAAGCGUGUUAAAAUUUAGAAUGAAUUGGCAGAGAUGCUUCUUAUAUUUAGACUGUGACAUCAUAAACUGCCCGAUUGACAAACCAUGGUUGGUCCAAGUAUUGAACUACACGCAACGAGUCAUUAUUUAUAUUCCGGGUACGGGUUAGGUAUUUAAGUUAUGGGCCUUGUCAGGUUUUGUUUCAAUUUCCCAUAAAUUGAUUUCUUCUUUCAGUGUCUAUACUUAUAUGGAUUUUUCUCAUUAAUUGAACUGAUUAAACCCAUGCUUUGGCGCCCCAUCGAGAAAUGAGAUUUUAUAAUAGACAAUGUAUAAUUAAAAAGUAUGUAAAAAAAUAUUUUAUUAAAAAUAUAUAUGAUCGAAAAUGAGAUUUUAGAAAAUAGAGUUCAAAUCGAGACUAAGAUGUUUGAGUGGGCCUUGUUCAAUGACGUGCAAGCAUAUAUAUCACUUGUAUGAAAGAGCUAAAAAAUUGCUUUUUGAUAAAAAUGUUAGUUCAUAAUGUGAAGCAAGUUGUGAAAAAUUAGAUAGUUCAUAUAUGAUGUAUAGAUAAACAUGAUAAUGUCUCUCAUUCUUAAGCCUAUAAAUUGUAUAAAGACGAACGUGCUAAACAUAACUUAGGUUACGUAAAUGACAAACUCUUGCUACACAUCUCUUUUUAAGUUUUUACAUUAUGACGUCACAUUUAUGCUACCAACCAUGUUACAUGUACAAUCGAGAUUGACAAUCUCGACUGACAAUUACACACACGGGAAAGGGCUCACGAUGAAUAAAAAAAAAUCGUGGACUCUCCUGUGAGGAGGUUGUCGUCAACCCUCAUUGUACAACUAGCAAAAUUCUUUAUACUACACACCUAUCAAUUGUGACUUCCACCUUUUUAUAGAGAAUAGCUUCUAAACUUAGAAAAUUUUACUAUUCGUACAUCAAAAUGUUAUAUAAGCAGUUAUCGAAAAAUAAUGUGGAGUGAAGAUUUGAUGAAAAGUUGAUUGUAUUUUAAAUUGGUAAAUGAUGG
Molecule: long non-coding RNA, 1020 nt
Filed under: Olea europaea subsp. europaea
Lineage: Eukaryota; Viridiplantae; Streptophyta; Magnoliopsida; Lamiales; Oleaceae
Source: RNAcentral